Molecule: long non-coding RNA, 683 nt
Filed under: Phoenix dactylifera (date palm)
Lineage: Eukaryota; Viridiplantae; Streptophyta; Magnoliopsida; Arecales; Arecaceae
Description: long non-coding RNA (PDAC_LNC019232)
Source: RNAcentral
GUUGAGGAGAUGGUUACAGAGAACAGUCUCAUGUAAAAAGCCAAUCUUGAUGAUAUGGGCAUGGAGGGAUUUGCCAGCUGGGAGAGAAUUUUGGGCUAUCGAAGAUUUAAUGGCCGAUGCAAUCAAAGAAUAGGAGGGGAACAGUUUCUUCUAUUUAACUAGCAAAUUCCAGUUGCAAGGAUUAAUUCCAAAAGAAAUAUGCAGUAACCAGAAAGCUUGGGAUAAAUUUUGAAAGGCAUAAAAAAAACUUCUAAAUCAAAGACCUAGAACAUAAAAAAAGACUUAUAGUCAUAAGAAAAUAAAUAGAUGGCUGCAAUCCAAGUAUGAAAACAAGAUCAAUAAUGUAAACUACCAACCAGAAAUUAUACAAAUAAAACAAAAGCAUUGUCCUUGCUAUUUAUAAAGAAUCAAACCUGAGAUUCAUCACCUUUGCUAACACUCUCUAACUUUCGAGGCCAACCAAGGUUCCCCUCCAUUCCACCCUCUCUAUUUCUUGUAUCCACCCUCUGGCUCAAACCUCACCUCCUCGUCCUCUCCUCCGCCACAACCGCCUCUUAAUCCCACCAAAACCCUCCCCUCCUCUCCUCUCUCUUGCUCGCCUCUUCUCCUCCUCCUACAGCCUCCAACCCCAUCGUCGUCGUCUUCCUCCCGUCCCUUCCCCCCCCUCUCUGCCCUCCGCGGUG